This 466-nucleotide ribosomal RNA is filed under the name uncultured bacterium. RNAcentral describes it as "partial 16S ribosomal RNA". It matches the Rfam family "Bacterial small subunit ribosomal RNA", at positions 28 to 507 of the family's 1533-position model. The record is from RNAcentral.
GAUGAACGCUGGCGGCGUGCUUAACACAUGCAAGUCGAACGAUGAAGCCCAGCUUGCUGGGUGGAUUAGUGGCGAACGGGUGAGUAACACGUGAGUAACCUGCCCUUAACUCUGGGAUAAGCCUGGGAAACUGGGUCUAAUACCGGAUAGGAGCGUCCACCGCAGGGUGGGUGUUGGAAAGAUUUAUCGGUUUUGGAUGGACUCGCGGCCUAUCAGCUUGUUGGUGAGGUAAUGGCUCACCAAGGCGACGACGGGUAGCCGGCCUGAGAGGGUGACCGGCCACCCUGGGACUGAGACACGGCCCAGACUCCUACGGGAGGCAGCAGUGGGGAAUAUUGCACAAUGGGCGCAAGCCUGAUGCAGCGACGCCGCGUGAGGGAUGACGGCCUUCGGGUUGUAAACCUCUUUCAGUAGGGAAGAAGCGAAAGUGACGGUACCUGCAGAAGAAGCACCGGCUAACUACGUG